UCGAGAAUCAUUCGCAAUGGGCGAAAGCCUGACGAUGCGACGCCGUGUGAGCGAUGAAGGCCUUAGGGUCGUAAAGCUCUUUCGCUUGGGAACAAGAGAAGCCGGAUAACACCCGGAAGAUUUGAGUGUACCAGGUAAAGAAGCACCGGCUAACUCCGUGCCAGCAGCUGCGGUAAUACGGAGGGUGCAAGCAUUAAUCGGAUUUAUUGGGCGUAAAGGGCGCGUAGGCUGGUUUGAAAGUCAGAUGUGAAAUCCCGCGGCUCAACCGCGGAACAGCAUAUGAAACUAGAAGCCUAGAGGGUAGGCGGAGAAAACGGAAUUCCACAAGUAGCGGUGAAAUGCGUAGAUAUGUGGAAGAACACCGGUGGCGAAGGCGGUUUUCUAGCUUAAACCUGACGCUGAGGCGCGAAAGCAAGGGGAUCAAACAGGAUUAGAUACCCCCGUAGUCC
RNAcentral lists this ribosomal RNA (449 nucleotides) under uncultured bacterium. RNAcentral's name for it is "bacterial SSU rRNA". It matches the Rfam family "Bacterial small subunit ribosomal RNA", at positions 355 to 796 of the family's 1533-position model. The record is from RNAcentral.